UUCAAUAUGGACGUCGAAGGACGAAAUGCGUAGACUUCGAGCCCAGAACUUCUUUCUGACCUUUCUGCGAUCGAGAAGAAAAUUCUGCGUGCUGAACAGCUCGGUAGGCUUUCGAAACGUCGCCGAUGCCGCGAAUGCGAGACGAAGUUAGAGCUCUACGAACAUCAGUCACAGAUGAAGCAAACAGCAUGAGUCGCCUGUCUUCAGUGCGCACUUGCUGUUCAUGGUGCCGGUGUGGCUGGUGUGUCAUAAUGCCGAAGGAGAUCGAAUGCUUGUGCUGCAAGGAGCUUGAAAACACUGCCGAAUGACUGCAGUAUGAGUGCAUUAGAACCCACAAAGAUUUCCAACUUCUAUUCUUCAAUAUGACUGUCCUGAAGGUCGCAUAGUGAACUCCGUGGGCAGCGCGAACCUAUGAGCGACGAUAUUCACAAACAAUGCAGAUACACUGCGUACCGCCAGUUUGCAAGGUGAGUAUGGCACAAGCUUGGGAAAAACAAGAUCAUGGUCAUCCCAGCCUGUGCAGUGAAGAGGGUCUGGCAAGCCUUUCCCACAGAAAAUGCCACAGGCUUCAAGUACCCAAGAUCCUAACUGGGGGUACCUCUUCGCGCAGCUCGUCUACCAUUAAUAAUUCAGAUAAAUAAUUCAGCAUCUGUAUUUAGGAUGAUCUAUAGCUCUCAGGAUGAUGCAUGGUUCAUGAGUUCAAUAUCUUGUGUUGAAACACAACACUAGUCCUUUUUAAUGAGUCUUGUGGAACGAUAGAUGAGCACUCCUUUCGUGACAUUGUGUUUCAUUGCUACAGUGAACAAUUUCUUGAGCAAGACUGAUGAACAAACGAAAAAUAGAGUCUUGUCUUCCAAAUAUGUAUGUUCCUUGUAACUUCCGUAUUUGUUAAGUGACCCAUGUUGAUGUCCCCCCUCAUGUAAUGCCUGCGAUGGCCUUUGAGAUAUAUUCAUAAAUAA
Long non-coding RNA from Ornithodoros turicata, 959 nucleotides. RefSeq lists it as uncharacterized. Lineage: Eukaryota; Metazoa; Arthropoda; Arachnida; Ixodida; Argasidae. The transcript has 3 exons. The record is from RefSeq and is a predicted model, not a curated record.